AAUCCAUAGGUUAAUGAGGCGAACCGGGGGAACUGAAACAUCUAAGUACCCCGAGGAAAAGAAAUCAACCGAGAUUCCCCCAGUAGCGGCGAGCGAACGGGGAGGAGCCCAGAGCCUGAAUCAGCAUGUGUGUUAGUGGAAGCGUCUGGAAAGGCGCGCGAUACAGGGUGACAGCCCCGUACACAAAAGCGCAUGUGCUGUGAGCUCGAUGAGUAGGGCGGGACACGUGGUAUCCUGUCUGAAUAUGGGGGGACCAUCCUCCAAGGCUAAAUACUCCUGACUGACCGAUAGUGAACCAGUACCGUGAGGGAAAGGCGAAAAGAACCCCGGCGAGGGGAGUGAAAAAGAACCUGAAACCGUGUACGUACAAGCAGUGGGAGCACAGGUUUACCUGUGUGACUGCGUACCUUUUGUAUAAUGGGUCAGCGACUUAUAUUCUGUAGCAAGGUUAACCGAAUAGGGGAGCCGGAGGGAAACCGAGUCUUAAUUGGGCGUUAAGUUGCAGGGUAUAGACCCGAAACCCGGUGAUCUAGCCAUGGGCAGGUUGAAGGUUGGGUAACACUAACUGGAGGACCGAACCGACUAAUGUUGAAAAAUUAGCGGAUGACCUGUGGCUGGGGGUGAAAGGCCAAUCAAACCGGGAGAUAGCUGGUUCUCCCCGAAAGCUAUUUAGGUAGCGCCUCGUGAAUUCAUCUCCGGGGGUAGAGCACUGUUUCGGCUAGGGGGCCAUCCCGGCUUACCAACCCGAUGCAAACUGCGAAUACCGGAGAAUGUUAUCACGGGAGACACACGGCGGGUGCUAACGUCCGUCGUGAAGAGGGAAACAACCCAGACCGCCAGCUAAGGUCCCAAAGUCAUGGUUAAGUGGGAAACGAUGUGGGAAGGCCCAGACAGCCAGGAUGUUGGCUUAGAAGCAGCCAUCAUUUAAAGAAAGCGUAAUAGCUCACUGGUCGAGUCGGCCUGCGCGGAAGAUGUAACGGGGCUAAACCAUGCACCGAAGCUGCGGCAGCGACACUGUGUGUUGUUGGGUAGGGGAGCGUUCUGUAAGCCUGCGAAGGUGGCCUGUGAGGGUUGCUGGAGGUAUCAGAAGUGCGAAUGCUGACAUAAGUAACGAUAAAGCGGGUGAAAAGCCCGCUCGCCGGAAGACCAAGGGUUCCUGUCCAACGUUAAUCGGGGCAGGGUGAGUCGACCCCUAAGGCGAGGCCGAAAGGCGUAGUCGAUGGGAAACGGGUUAAUAUUCCCGUACUUGGUGUUACUGCGAAGGGGGGACGGAGAAGGCUAUGUUGGCCGGGCGACGGUUGUCCCGGUUUAAGCGUGUAGGUGUGUGUUCCAGGUAAAUCCGGUUCACUUUAACACUGAGGCGUGACGACGAGGCACUACGGUGCUGAAGCAACAAAUGCCCUGCUUCCAGGAAAAGCCUCUAAGCAUCAGGUAACAUCAAAUCGUACCCCAAACCGACACAGGUGGUCAGGUAGAGAAUACCAAGGCGCUUGAGAGAACUCGGGUGAAGGAACUAGGCAAAAUGGUGCCGUAACUUCGGGAGAAGGCACGCUGACACGUAGGUGAAGUGAUUUACUCAUGGAGCUGAAGUCAGUCGAAGAUACCAGCUGGCUGCAACUGUUUAUUAAAAACACAGCACUGUGCAAACACGAAAGUGGACGUAUACGGUGUGACGCCUGCCCGGUGCCGGAAGGUUAAUUGAUGGGGUCAGCGCAAGCGAAGCUCCUGAUCGAAGCCCCGGUAAACGGCGGCCGUAACUAUAACGGUCCUAAGGUAGCGAAAUUCCUUGUCGGGUAAGUUCCGACCUGCACGAAUGGCGUAAUGAUGGCCAGGCUGUCUCCACCCGAGACUCAGUGAAAUUGAACUCGCUGUGAAGAUGCAGUGUACCCGCGGCAAGACGGAAAGACCCCGUGAACCUUUACUAUAGCUUGACACUGAACAUUGAGCCUUGAUGUGUAGGAUAGGUGGGAGGCUUUGAAGUGUGGACGCCAGUCUGCAUGGAGCCGACCUUGAAAUACCACCCUUUAAUGUUUGAUGUUCUAACGUGGACCCGUUACCCGGGUUGCGGACAGUGUCUGGUGGGUAGUUUGACUGGGGCGGUCUCCUCCUAAAGAGUAACGGAGGAGCACGAAGGUUGGCUAAUCCUGGUCGGACAUCAGGAGGUUAGUGCAAUGGCAUAAGCCAGCUUGACUGCGAGCGUGACGGCGCGAGCAGGUGCGAAAGCAGGUCAUAGUGAUCCGGUGGUUCUGAAUGGAAGGGCCAUCGCUCAACGGAUAAAAGGUACUCCGGGGAUAACAGGCUGAUACCGCCCAAGAGUUCAUAUCGACGGCGGUGUUUGGCACCUCGAUGUCGGCUCAUCACAUCCUGGGGCUGAAGUAGGUCCCAAGGGUAUGGCUGUUCGCCAUUUAAAGUGGUACGCGAGCUGGGUUUAGAACGUCGUGAGACAGUUCGGUCCCUAUCUGCCGUGGGCGCUGGAGAACUGAGGGGGGCUGCUCCUAGUACGAGAGGACCGGAGUGGACGCAUCACUGGUGUUCGGGUUGUCAUGCCAAUGGCACUGCCCGGUAGCUAAAUGCGGAAGAGAUAAGUGCUGAAAGCAUCUAAGCACGAAACUUGCCCCGAG
This 2621-nucleotide ribosomal RNA is filed under the name Salmonella enterica. Its description in RNAcentral is "partial 23S ribosomal RNA". It matches the Rfam family "Bacterial large subunit ribosomal RNA". Lineage: Bacteria; Pseudomonadati; Pseudomonadota; Gammaproteobacteria; Enterobacterales; Enterobacteriaceae. RNAcentral also lists the same sequence under 2 other names. The record is from RNAcentral.